RNAcentral lists this ribosomal RNA (471 nucleotides) under uncultured bacterium. Its description in RNAcentral is "bacterial SSU rRNA". It matches the Rfam family "Bacterial small subunit ribosomal RNA", at positions 8 to 525 of the family's 1533-position model. RNAcentral also lists the same sequence under 1 other name. The record is from RNAcentral.
AGAGUUUGAUCAUGGCUCAGAAUGAACGCUGGCGGCAUGCCUAACACAUGCAAGUCGAACGAAGGCUUCGGCCUUAGUGGCGCACGGGUGCGUAACGCGUGGGAAUCUGCCCUCAGGUUCGGAAUAACAGCGAGAAAUUGCUGCUAAUACCGGAUGAUAUCGCGAGAUCAAAGAUUUAUCGCCUGAGGAUGAGCCCGCGUAGGAUUAGCUAGUUGGUGUGGUAAAGGCGCACCAAGGCGACGAUCCUUAGCUGGUCUGAGAGGAUGAUCAGCCACACUGGGACUGAGACACGGCCCAGACUCCUACGGGAGGCAGCAGUGGGGAAUAUUGGACAAUGGGCGAAAGCCUGAUCCAGCAAUGCCGCGUGAGUGAUGAAGGCCUUAGGGUUGUAAAGCUCUUUUACCCGGGAUGAUAAUGACAGUACCGGGAGAAUAAGCUCCGGCUAACUCCGUGCCAGCAGCCGCGGUAAUA